This 628-nucleotide long non-coding RNA is filed under the name Haliotis rufescens (red abalone). RNAcentral describes it as "uncharacterized LOC125378798". The record is from RNAcentral. Lineage: Eukaryota; Metazoa; Mollusca; Gastropoda; Lepetellida; Haliotidae.
UGACUAGGCCCAUUUUGACUAACCGAUCCACAAUUUUAUUUCAACCCACUUUCUGCGGGCCACUUUACCAGUUGAUACAAAACUGUGAGAAGUUUUUCGACGAACAAAGAAAAAAAAUGGAAAUUACGUGUUAAUAUUGUAGAAUAAAUUUUAUUUGCGAUAUCAGACUCUUACAAACAUACAACAAUGUUGGGCCAAUGAUGUUCCAACAUUCUAAAGUAUUACCCAGCUAUGAAACCAUUCAUGUGUCGCAAAGAGAACAUUGAUAGUGGGCAGCAAAACGUAUUAAGAGUUACCUCCCUUGAUAAUGCGAAGGAGCCGUCUGGCAUAAGGGCUAUUCACUGUACAUCAAUAAAGGAGGUUCCAGCCUGCGUCCCUGAGACAAGGUAUGCAUGAUUAACUAUGUAUAGACUGUACUUUGUUUUAUCUGGAAGGAUUUGUUCAAAUAUAUAUGCCAAAAGUAAGUAACUAUAGAUCUAAAUGUAUUAUUAUUAUUGUUGUUAUCUUGUGCCUUUAUACUGUCCAUACCCAUGAUAUUUAUAUCAAAUUAUGUAUGUUUUAGGGCAGAUCCGGACUAUCGUGAAGUUCUCACUCUACGCCCAUUGAAAAUAAAUCCCUUCUGACCCAA